GUAGUUUGUCGACUGCCUCGAGCCCUGAUCCGGAUGCUGGGGCGCGGGGGAGCUGAAGGGAUCCGCGCUCCCAGACCGCCGGUCCGGCUGGGGAGGGGGCGCCGUGCGUCCUGGGCGCGUCCCCUGAGGCGGAGGACGGUCGUCCGGCGGGAGGACGCGUCCAGGGGGAGCGCCGCAGGUCCGAAAAGAUAGCGGGAGUCGAGGAUGAAGGAAAUGGAGGGGAUGGAGGGGAGUUCCCCCCGGAGGUGGGACCGCGCCGGAGCCCAGAGUUGGAGCCUGACAGGGUGGAAGGCGGCGGGGACUUCGGGGUGACAGGCCGGGACCCCAGGCGUGGCUCGAUCACUCACCCUAGCUGGUCUCCGUCGAGCCACGGCGGCGCCGGGGAGGCGGGUCGGGCCUGCCUCGGAGCCUGUCCCCGGCCGCUCUGGCCGCGCUGAUGGGAUUCCCAGAAGCCCCAGGACGCCGCGGUGGUGUCGGGUCCGUUUCCGCCCCACCAGGCCGUAAACGCCCUGCUGGCGGGACACGGAUUCACGCGUUGCCCUUAGCGAGCGCUUGGUGAGCGCCCACUGUGUGCGCUGCGCAGUGCUGGGGGCCCAGUGGGGACACAGAGCCCCCGGACCUGCCCUCCCGAUGCUUGCAGCCCAGGGAGAUUUAUACUUUGUUUUAGUCCCUUCUGCCUCCCCAGUGCCCUAGAAAAGCUCGUGCACACAGUAGGUGAAUGCGGGUUGAAUAAAUGAGUAAUCGAGACAGAUUGUGAUUUUGUUGUUGUUGUGUUAUAUUUUGUUUUGUUUUGAGACGGAGUUUCGCUCUUUCGCCCAGGCUGGAGUGCAGUGGCACGAUCUAGGCUCACCGCAACCUCCGUCCCCUGGGUUCAAGCUAUUCUCGGCCUCCCAAAGUGCCCGGCCUCUGUUUUUUUAAGCCUUAACAUGUGUUCUAGUAUCUUGGCGGUACUACCCAUAAUAUUUACUUCAACGUAUUUUUUUUUUUUAUAAUUUAUCGGCCAGGCGCAGUGGCUCACACCUGUAAUCCCAACACUUUGGGAGGCCGAGGAGGGUAGAUCACCUGAGGUCAGGAGUUCGAGACCAGCCUGGCCAACAUGGUGAAACCCCUUCUCUACUAAUAAUACAAAACUUAGCUGGGUGUGGUGGUGCACGCCUGUAAUCCCAGCUGCUUGGGAGGCUGAGGCAGGAGAAUCGCUUGAAUCCGGAAGGCAGAGGUUGCAGUGAGCCGAGAUCACACCAUUGCACUCCAGCCUGGGCGACAAGAGGGAAACUCUGUCUCAAAAAUAGUAAUAAUAAUAAUAAUUUAUCCAGCCUGGGCAACAUAGCGAGACCCUGUCCAAACAAAAAUUAGCCCAGCAUGGUGGUGUGUGCUUGUACUCCCAGCUACUUGGGAGGCUGAGGCAGGAGGAUCGCUUGAGUCCAGGAAGUCGAGGUUGUAGUUCCCCAUAGUCAUGCCACUGCACUCCAGUCUGGGAGACAGCAAGACCCUGUCUCAAAAAAAAAAAGAAGAAGAAGAAAUUAAUUUUGAGAGACCACAGAGGGUAAGGGCCCUGACUGAAACCAGUCAGCCCCUGGUUCAUAUCCUGCCUUUGCCACUUUCUUGCUGUGUGACAGUGGACAAAUUACCUCACCUCUGUGUGUCCUCAUCUUUAACAUGCUGAUAAUAAUAGGCCUCAUUUCAUAGGGUCAUGAGGAAGAAUGAGCUAGGGAGAGCUGCACCUGAGAGGAAGUGCCAUAUAAAUGCUGGCCGUUAUCAUUAGUAAGUAAACAGGAAGUUAUCAGUUCCACAAGUGAAUACCUUAUGCAAUGUCCCAAACAUAAAAGCAUGAUAGAUCUAUAACUUAGUACAGUGGUGUUCACCGCAAUGCUAUUUACAAUAGCAAAGACAUGGAAUCAACUCAGGUGCCCACCAACAGUGGAUUGGAUAAAGAAAAUGUGAUAAAUGUACACCAUGGAAUACUAUGCAGUCAUAAAAAAGAAUGAAGCCUGGUGCGGUGGCUCACACCUGUAAUUCCAGCACUUUGGGAGGCCGAGGCAGGUGGAUCACUUGAGGUCAGGAGUUGGAGACCAGCCUGGCCAGCAAAGGGAAACCCCAUCUCUACUGAAAAUACAAAAAUUAUUUGGGUGUGGUGGCAGGCACCUGUAGUCCCAGCUACUCGGGAGGCUGAGGCAAGGGAAUUACUUGAGCCUGGGAGGCGGAGGUUGCAGUGAGCCGAGAUAGCGCCGUUGCACUCCAGGCUGGGCAACAGAGCAAGACUCUGUCUCAAAAAUAAAUAAAUAAAUAAAUAAUGAAAUAAUGUCCUUUGCAGCAACACAGAUGCAGCUGGAGGUCAUUAUCCUAAGCAAACUGACACAGGAACAGAUAACCAAAUACCUCAUCUUCUCACUUAUAAGUGGGAGGUAAACAUUGGGUAUGCAUGGACAUGAAGAUGGGACAGAUAAACACUGGGGACUACCAGAGUGGGGAGGUAGGGAUAGGAGACAAAUGUUGAAAAACUAACUUUCGGGGGCGGGCAUGGUGGCUCAUGCCUGUAAUCCCAGCCCUUUGGGAGGCCGAGGCAGGAGGAACACGAGAUCAGGAGUUCAAGACCAGCCUCGCCAACAUAGUGAAACCCUGUCUCUACUAAAAAUACAAAACUUAGCCAGGCAUGGUGGCAUAUGCCUGUAGUCCCAGCUACUUGGGAGGCUGAAGUGGGAGAAUCGCUUGAACC
RNAcentral lists this long non-coding RNA (2713 nucleotides) under Homo sapiens (human). RNAcentral describes it as "non-protein coding lnc-ZNF541-3:2". The record is from RNAcentral. Lineage: Eukaryota; Metazoa; Chordata; Mammalia; Primates; Hominidae.